CCAUCAUUUAAAGAAAGCGUAAUAGCUCACUGGUCGAGUCGGCCUGCGCGGAAGAUGUAACGGGGCUAAACCAUGCACCGAAGCUGCGGCAGCGACGCUUAUGCGUUGUUGGGUAGGGGAGCGUUCUGUAAGCCUGCGAAGGUGUGCUGUGAGGCAUGCUGGAGGUAUCAGAAGUGCGAAUGCUGACAUAAGUAACGAUAAAGCGGGUGAAAAGCCCGCUCGCCGGAAGACCAAGGGUUCCUGUCCAACGUUAAUCGGGGCAGGGUGAGUCGACCCCUAAGGCGAGGCCGAAAGGCGUAGUCGAUGGGAAACAGGUUAAUAUUCCUGUACUUGGUGUUACUGCGAAGGGGGGACGGAGAAGGCUAUGUUGGCCGGGCGACGGUUGUCCCGGUUUAAGCGUGUAGGCUGGUUUUCCAGGCAAAUCCGGAAAAUCAAGGCUGAGGCGUGAUGACGAGGCACUACGGUGCUGAAGCAACAAAUGCCCUGCUUCCAGGAAAAGCCUCUAAGCAUCAGGUAACAUCAAAUCGUACCC
Molecule: ribosomal RNA, 532 nt
Filed under: Escherichia coli
Lineage: Bacteria; Pseudomonadati; Pseudomonadota; Gammaproteobacteria; Enterobacterales; Enterobacteriaceae
Description: partial 23S ribosomal RNA
Rfam family: Bacterial large subunit ribosomal RNA
Source: RNAcentral